AUACUUAACCUGGCAGGUGAGAUACCAUGAUCAUGAAGGUGGUUUUCUCAGGUGAUGCUUAUCCAUUGCACUCUGGAUGUGCUUACCCCUGUGAUUUCCCCAGUUGAGGAAUCUCGACUGUAUAAUUUGUGGUAUUGGGGGACUGCAUUCACACUCUCCCCUU
This is a small nuclear RNA of Phodopus roborovskii (desert hamster), 163 nucleotides long. RefSeq annotates it as U1 spliceosomal RNA. NCBI's taxonomy places the organism in Eukaryota, Metazoa, Chordata, Mammalia, Rodentia, Cricetidae. The record is from RefSeq and is a predicted model, not a curated record. The transcript has a single exon.